Molecule: ribosomal RNA, 445 nt
Filed under: uncultured bacterium
Lineage: Bacteria
Description: bacterial SSU rRNA
Rfam family: Bacterial small subunit ribosomal RNA
Source: RNAcentral
ACCAGACUCCUACGGGAGGCAGCAGUGGGGAAUAUUGCACAAUGGGGGAAACCCUGAUGCAGCGACGCCGCGUGAGCGAUGAAGUAUUUCGGUAUGUAAAGCUCUAUCAGCAGGGAAGAAAAUGACGGUACCUGACUAAGAAGCCCCGGCUAACUACGUGCCAGCAGCCGCGGUAAUACGUAGGGGGCAAGCGUUAUCCGGAAUCACUGGGUGUAAAGGGAGCGUAGACGGCUGUGCAAGCCUGAAGUGAAAGGCGGGGGCCCAACCCCUGGACUGCAUUUGGAACUGUGUGGCUGGAGUGUCGGAGAGGCAGGCAGAAUUCCUAGUGUAGCGGUGAAAUGCGUAGAUAUUAGGAGGAACACCAGUGGCGAAGGCGGCCUGCUGGACGAUGACUGACGUUGAGGCUCGAAAGCGUGGGGAGCAAACAGGAUUAGAUACCCCGGUA